ACGGGAGGCAGCAGUGGGGAAUAUUGCACAAUGGGGGAAACCCUGAUGCAGCGAUGCCGCGUGGAGGAAGAAGGUUUUCGGAUUGUAAACUCCUGUCUUAAGGGACGAUAAUGACGGUACCUUAGGAGGAAGCUCCGGCUAACUACGUGCCAGCAGCCGCGGUAAUACGUAGGGAGCGAGCGUUGUCCGGAAUCACUGGGCGUAAAGGGAGCGCAGGCGGAGAUGCAAGCAGUCUGUACAAUACCGGGGCCCAACCCCGGACCUGCAGACUGGACUGUUUCUCUUGGAUAGCUCAGGGGCUGGCGGAAUUCCUGGUGUAGCGGUGGAAUGCGUAGAGAUCAGGAAGAACACCGAUGGCGAAGGCAGCCAGCUGGGGGCUUAUCGACGCUCAUGCUCGAAAGUGCGGGUAGCAAACAGGAUUAGAUACCCUGGUA
This 434-nucleotide ribosomal RNA is filed under the name uncultured Fibrobacter sp. RNAcentral describes it as "partial 16S ribosomal RNA". It matches the Rfam family "Bacterial small subunit ribosomal RNA", at positions 341 to 792 of the family's 1533-position model. The record is from RNAcentral. Lineage: Bacteria; Pseudomonadati; Fibrobacterota; Fibrobacteria; Fibrobacterales; Fibrobacteraceae.